CCUACGGGCGGCUGCAGUGGGGAAUAUUGCACAAUGGGGGAAACCCUGAUGCAGCGACGCCGCGUGGGUGAAGAAGUAUCUCGGUACGUAAAGCUCUAUCAUGAGGGAAGAAAAUGACGGUACCUGACGAAGAAGCCCCGGCUAACUACGUGCCAGCAGCCGCGGUAAUACGGAGGGUGCAAGCGUUACCCGGAUUUACUGGGGGUAAAGGGAGCGUAGGCGGGAGCGUAAGUCUGGAGUGAAAUCCCGGGGCUUAACCCCGGAACUGCUUUGGAAACUGUGCGGCUGGAGUGCAGGAGGGGUAGGCGGAAUUCUUGGUGUAGCGGUGAAAUGCGUAGAUAUUAGGAGGAACACCGAUGGCGAAGGCGGCUUACUGGAACGUAACUGACGUUGAGGCACGAAAGCGUGGGGAGCAAACAGGAUUAGAUACCCGGGUAGUC
Molecule: ribosomal RNA, 440 nt
Filed under: uncultured bacterium
Lineage: Bacteria
Description: partial 16S ribosomal RNA
Rfam family: Bacterial small subunit ribosomal RNA
Source: RNAcentral